UCCUACGGGAGGCAGCAGUAAGGGAUAUUGGUCAAUGGGGGAAACCCUGAACCAGCAACGCCGCGUGAGGGAAGACGGUUUUCGGAUUGUAAACCUCUGUCCUCUGUGAAGAUGAUGACGGUAGCAGAGGAGGAAGCUCCGGCUAACUACGUGCCAGCAGCCGCGGUAAUACGUAGGUGGCAAGCGUUAUCCGGAUUUAUUGGGUGUAAAGGGCGUGUAGGCGGGAAAGCAAGUCAGAUGUGAAAACUCAGGGCUCAACCCUGAGCCUGCAUUUGAAACUGUUUUUCUUUAGUGCUGGAGAGGCA
This 305-nucleotide ribosomal RNA is filed under the name uncultured bacterium. RNAcentral's name for it is "bacterial SSU rRNA". It matches the Rfam family "Bacterial small subunit ribosomal RNA", at positions 337 to 659 of the family's 1533-position model. The record is from RNAcentral.